This is a non-coding RNA of Roridomyces roridus, 134 nucleotides long. The record is from the annotation of a GenBank genome assembly. Lineage: Eukaryota; Fungi; Basidiomycota; Agaricomycetes; Agaricales; Mycenaceae.
GGUUGGAUGGCCGAGCGGUCUAAAGUGCCAGACUAAGGAUCAGCGUCGUCGCAGACGUUUCUCUUCUCUUCGUAAACAUGUGUUCGCUGGGUAUCUGGUCUUUCGGGGCGUGGGUUCGAAUCCCACUCCAAUCA